This 497-nucleotide ribosomal RNA is filed under the name uncultured bacterium. RNAcentral's name for it is "partial 16S ribosomal RNA". It matches the Rfam family "Bacterial small subunit ribosomal RNA", at positions 28 to 507 of the family's 1533-position model. The record is from RNAcentral.
GAUGAACGCUGGCGGCGUGCCUAAUACGUGCAAGUCGAGCGAACGGACGAGAAGCUUGCUUCUCUGAUGUUAGCGGCGGACGGGUGAGUAACACGUGGAUAACCUACCUAUAAGACUGGGAUAACUUCGGGAAACCGGAGCUAAUACCGGAUAAUAUUUUGAACCGCAUGGUUCAAAAGUGAAAGACGGUCUUGCUGUCACUUAUAGAUGGAUCCGCGCUGCAUUAGCUAGUUGGUAAGGUAACGGCUUACCAAGGCAACGAUGCAUAGCCGACCUGAGAGGGUGAUCGGCCAAACUGGAACUGGGACACGGUCCAGACUCCUACGGGGGGCAGCAGUAGGGAAUCUUCCGCAAUGGGCGAAAGCCUGACGGAGCAAAGCCGCGGGAGUGAUAAAGGUCUUCGGAUCGGAAAACUCUGUUAUUAGGGAAGAACAUAUGUGUAAGUAACUGUGCACAUCUUGACGGUACCUAAUCAGAAAGCCACGGCUAACUACGUG